This is a long non-coding RNA of Cydia strobilella, 2398 nucleotides long. RefSeq lists it as uncharacterized. The transcript is spliced from 2 exons. The record is from RefSeq and is a predicted model, not a curated record. Lineage: Eukaryota; Metazoa; Arthropoda; Insecta; Lepidoptera; Tortricidae.
AGGGUGAAGAGCAAAAUAGAUCAACGCACAAGUAUAAUAGCAGGUUCUAGUUUUCCAAUUCGGGAACAAAUCGAAUUAUUUAAUGAAAUAUUUUGAUUUGUGUAUUGUGUAAGUUGACGAAGCGGGUUCGAUUCCCGCCUCGGCCACAUAUCUAUUUCAGUUUAUAAUUUUGUCAGUUUUGUUACAAUUUAUAGAAUUAAAUGGAAAUAUAUUAUUUUUACAAUGUUAUAAUUUAAUUGUGGUAUUUCUACUUAAUAACACACAUUUUUUUUAUCAAAAUAAUUUAAUAUGCCCUUAACUUAUCGGGUUUGUAACAAAAAUUUUGUCAUUUUUGUUAAAAUUAUCAGUUAAUAGUAUUUUUCAUAUAGCUUAGGUAUGGUGACAGCUGUCAUUUCCAUACAACUUAUAACCUUGAAACGCAAAAUAUGUUAAAUGACAGAUGUUACCGUAACGCGUACUACGUAGGCGAACAACGCGAACGCGAAGCGAAGCGAUGCGGCGCGGGGUGAAUCAAUCCUUUGAUACCUAUACAAGUGUCCUACGUGGGUGAUCUCGUUGCGAACGCGAACGCCGUGGCCCCGCCGCGCCGCUUCGCUUCGCGUUCGCAAGUUGUUCGCUUAAGUAACGCAGCGUAAAAUACUAAAGUAACGGAACCUAUGUAUGUUGUCUAUUUUACAUUUGACCCAUUAUUGUAAAUUGUAGACCUCAUACAACCAGCAUUAAUUAUGGGGCAUUUUCUAUGAAAAGGGACUUUAUUGUUGAUGGCGCUUGCGCACAGCGUCGCGCGGCAUUGUAUUUAUAUCGGAGCGUCGUUAAUAAUGGCGUAAGCGCCAUCGACAAUAAGGUCCCUUUUUAUAGAAAAUACCACAUAUAAUGGUCAUAGGAAUGACACUAAAGUUAUACCAUUUAGAUAUUAUAAAUAAAAAUCUGAUAAUAUUAUAAUUAAGGUCUUUGUUAAAUGUUUGCUACCCAGUAAAGUUAGGUGCCAUGCUGAAUGGCUUAGGGUGAGUCUGGGAGACUUGAACCAUUUAAAAAAACAGGACAAGUGCGAGUCGGACUCGCGCACCGAGGGUUCCGUACUUUUUAGUAUUUGUUGUUAUAGCGGCAACAGAAAUACAUCAUCUGUGAAAAUUUCAACUGUCUAGCUAUCACUGUUCAUGAGAUACAGCCUGGUGACAGACAGACAGAGGAGUCUUAGUAAUAGGAUACCGAUUUUACCCUUUGGGUACGGAACCCUAAAAAGGGCCAGAAACAAAAUACUGUGUGUUUCUCCAGAACGUUUGUUUAUUUAUGCAGAAACAAUAUUUUGAUUUUGGCACUUUUUUUUAUAAGGUUCAAGCUUUCCGGAUUUUUCCUACAUGAAUAUUAAUUAGUAAUUGUUAUACUUAUCUAGAAAGUGCUUAAAGUACUAUUGUGAUUACAUGUUAGAACUCAUAGAGGCAGAUGUUUAAAUCUUGUAUGUCGCAUGUGUCUUUCUGUCCUUUUUACCUUUAUAGUGCGGGGAAGGGACAGUAUGAGUUAAAUCUCAUCAUUGGCUUUGGCAUUUUUUAUUCGAAUUGUGGACCAUUAUUGUUUGUUGGAAGUUAACUUUUAUUCUUUUGUAAAAUGAUAAAAAAGUAAUAUAUCGAGGCCUAAAAAAUUACAUACAAUUUGACAUCUGACAACUGUCAAAUAAUAAAUGUGACCCAAAGUCGUUAGACAAUAUUAAUGUCCUGCAGAUAGCCAAUAUGUCACAAAAGCUUAAUAAUAAAGGCCCAUUUACUCGUAAUAUUUAUAUCUACUUUGUUGUAGAAAAGUGCGUCAUAGCAGGCGUGGCUCACUUCUCGAUUUCGUCGCGUCGCUACAAUUACAUGCGGCCCACACCAAUUUUGGUGUCUAGCCAUAAUUGCCGCGCACCGCUACGGAACGGACGUCGCUCACGCUUGCGCCACCUAGCGGUCAUAUCUUUCGUAAUAGACGCCUUUUGUUAGAGAGUGAAACUUCUGUACCUUAGUACUAUUAUUUAUUCUGUGGCCAUAGUUGGCUUCCAACAACAAUCUAUAUAGUGAGAAUGAAUACCAUUGAAUGAAUGAAAUCUUGUUAAUGAUAUCAUUCAAUCAGUCAUAUCAAUGUGAGCUUUUCACCAAAUUCUAAAAACACGGUUAUAUUUUAGAGUAGAAAUAAUGUAAAACAGUAAACUUUGAAACAAAUUAAAAGUGAAAACAUUCACCGUCAAACAACAAUCUUACGGUAGAUGUCGCUAGGGCCUCCCAAAGGAAAUAUGGUGGAAAUAUUCGCUAUAUUCGGUAAGGUCUUGGUAGCUCAGAUGGAAGAGCACCGGGCUAGCGAUCCGGUGAUCGUGGGUUCAAGUCCCACCCAAGACAGUUGAUCUUUCCACUUUUAAUUUGUUUCUAAGCUC